RNAcentral lists this long non-coding RNA (753 nucleotides) under Oryza sativa (Asian cultivated rice). RNAcentral's name for it is "long non-coding RNA (OSAT_LNC001782)". The record is from RNAcentral. Lineage: Eukaryota; Viridiplantae; Streptophyta; Magnoliopsida; Poales; Poaceae.
AGUAAGCAGCAGCUAGUUGCCGACAAGGCCAGAGAAGGAAGAAGAAGCUCUCAUCAUCAUCACCAUGUCGUGCUGCGGUGGCAACUGCGGAUGCGGCUCCAGCUGCCAGUGCGGCAACGGCUGCGGCGGGUACGUAUAUUACAUGCAGAUCGAUCGAUCGAUGCAAUUCAAACUUGACGAUCGAUAUAUGCAGAUGCAAGUACUCUGAGGUGGAACCCACGACCACGACCACCUUCCUUGCCGAUGCAACCAACAAGGGGUAUGUACGUAUACCCAUGCUUGAUUAAUUAUACAUACUCCGAUCGAUAGAUUUUAUAUAAGUAUGAACACUAUAUAUCCAUUACAUGGGCAAUGCAUGAUCGAUUGCAGGUCUGGUGCUGCUUCCGGAGGAUCAGAGAUGGGGGCGGAGAACGGCAGCUGCGGCUGCAACACCUGCAAGUGCGGCACCAGCUGCGGCUGCUCCUGCUGCAACUGCAACUAGAAGAAACUUAUCUCCAUCCAAUUCAUCACCUGAUCAACGAGCUACCAGUACCACUACAUAUGCCAUGUACUAGCUACCUAGCUUGCAUGCAAGUCCUUAAUUUGCUGCUAGCUAGCUAGCUACCUACCUUAGCGUCUCAUGUAUGUCAUGUUGCCGCCUGGCCCCUAAAUAAAAUUCCUUACUUAAUCGCAAAAUCUUAUUUAUAUACAUUUUCUUUGUCUUAACUAUAUACUAUACUCCUGCUGCAUGCAAGCAGAGGCUAUAUAUGAUCG